Molecule: unclassified non-coding RNA, 275 nt
Filed under: Hevea brasiliensis (rubber tree)
Lineage: Eukaryota; Viridiplantae; Streptophyta; Magnoliopsida; Malpighiales; Euphorbiaceae
Source: RNAcentral
ACACCAAUAUUAAUACAGAAAUAGCAAUAGAUAAAAACAUCACUAGAAUGACAUGACAAAGUACGUAUCUUAAGAUUUUUGGAACUUCCACCAUCACAUCUGGAAAUGUCUCAGGCAUGCCUGGCACUGCUUCCUGCUCCAUUCCCUCCCUGGUCUGGCAAAUGCGAGCAAUCUAGUCCUUUAUUUAUCGAAGUUCAUGAAUUUUUCUCCAUCUGCUUCAGCCAACAUAGUUACAAACUUUAUGGGAACUUCUUUCUUCCUUGCUCUACUUGGCG